UACGAAGGGAGCUAGCGUUGUUCGGAAUCACUGGGCGUAAAGCGCACGUAGGCGGAUGUGUCAGUCAGGGGUGAAAUCCCGGAGCUCAACUUCGGAACUGCCCUUGAUACAGCACGUCUUGAGUCCGGAAGAGGUGGGUGGAAUUCCUAGUGUAGAGGUGAAAUUCGUAGAUAUUAGGAAGAACACCGGUGGCGGAGGCGGCCCACUGGUCCGGUACUGACGCUGAGGUGCGAAAGCGUGGGGAGCAAACAGG
This 253-nucleotide ribosomal RNA is filed under the name uncultured bacterium. RNAcentral describes it as "partial 16S ribosomal RNA". It matches the Rfam family "Bacterial small subunit ribosomal RNA", at positions 524 to 776 of the family's 1533-position model. The record is from RNAcentral.